Molecule: long non-coding RNA, 363 nt
Filed under: Rattus norvegicus (Norway rat)
Lineage: Eukaryota; Metazoa; Chordata; Mammalia; Rodentia; Muridae
Description: long non-coding RNA NONRATT028249
Source: RNAcentral
GAAAUCUGUUCCACAAGCCACAACAUUGUCCAAUCAGUGCCAGGCCUUUGUAGACCAUCUGCCUGCCUUGAUUCCCUCCCACUCACCUCCCUGCCGUUCUCCAUCCUCCUCUUUGCCUUCACUUUCUUCUACUUCCACAUCCCCUCCAUCCUUGGGAGCAGUCUCUUCCUCUUCAUCCAGAUGUUCUUCUCCUUCACCUGCUCCUCCCACCUCCCCUCCCUUACCUGUUUCAUCUAUCCCUCUUUUGUCCUCUCCCUUGCAGUCAUCUCCCUCCCCCUGUUUGCCUCCAGCAUAUCUGGCUUUUCCCUCACCAGUGCCGCCUCCUUCCUCCUCUUUUAUGAUUUCUUCUCCCUUUCCUCCCCU